This is a non-coding RNA of Pelobates cultripes (western spadefoot toad), 120 nucleotides long. NCBI's taxonomy places the organism in Eukaryota, Metazoa, Chordata, Amphibia, Anura, Pelobatidae. The record is from the annotation of a GenBank genome assembly.
AGGAAUAAACAGACCACUCAGGAGGGGUGAGAAAAUCAAUAUAUAUAUAUAUAUAUAUAUAUAUAUAUAUAUAUAUAUAUAUUGAUUGAUUUUCUCACCCUUCCUGGGUGGUCUUUUUAU